Molecule: long non-coding RNA, 1671 nt
Filed under: Homo sapiens (human)
Lineage: Eukaryota; Metazoa; Chordata; Mammalia; Primates; Hominidae
Description: HSALNT0281174
Source: RNAcentral
CACUAAGCAGGGGACACAGGAAGUAGUUUCUCUUUUCUUCCACCUUGCCUCUGACACCUCAGGGCAGUGAAGGCUUUGAUAUGCGUGAGGAGGCAUCGGGUCAGCAGAUGGAGGAGUCCAGGCCCUGUUCUAGGCAAGAUAAGUACUCUGAGUGAAGUUUGAGGGAACCACCCACCACAGAUUGGAGGGACUCCCACAGAGUCCAACCCCUGAUUUCAGCCCUGUUAGAUCCCAGACAGGGAUCAUUUGAUUUAGUACCUUCUGAAUUCCCUCAGUGAGGACUCUGGGAGCUGAGAGUCAGCAGAUGGAGGCGUCCAGGCUCUGCCACACGUUAAGGUGACCCUUUUUUGAAGUGAGGAGGUCAUUGGACACUUUCUUGAAGGAGACAGCAUUGUGGAACAUUAAAUAGAUGUCACUAGUCAUCACCUCUAAAUUGUUGGCCUGAUCUUGGGUGUUCUAAGUUGACCCUUAGACAACUUGGGUUUGAACUGCAUGGAUCUACUUAUACAUGGAUUUUCUUCUGCCUCUGCCACCCAUGAAACAGCAAGACCAACCGUUCCUUUUCCAUUUUUCUCCUCAGCCUACUCAACACAAAGAAGAUGAAUAUGAAGACCUUUGUGAUGAUCCACUUCACUUAAUGAAUAGUUGUAGGCAAAGCCAGCUGCCAUUUCAUAAGAACACUCAGGCAACACUAUGGAGCUGUUCAUUGGCAAGGAAAUUAGUUCUCCUGCCGUAACCAGCAAGGAACUGAAGCUCUUGCUAACAGCUAUGUGAAUUAGUUAUUUUGGAAGCAGAUCCUCCAACUCCAGUCAAGCCAGCUGACAUACAGCACUAGCUGACAUCAUGAUUGCAACCAUGUGAGAAGAUUCGGGUCAGAGCCACCCAGAUGCUGAAACCUGAAGUCAGCAGGGAAGUCAGGAAGAGGAGAUGAUGCAAAGCAGAGGAAGCAAGGAUAAAUGGAAUCCAUGAGGACUAUCUGGAGCUCUCAAGGACUGACUGGGACCCAUGUUGAUCUUCCACUGCCUCCAAACCUCCAAUUUCAAUGACAUCAAUGCCCUGAAAAAAAAAAGUGGGCGUUCUUUUUUAUGGAGCUGGUGAAGAAGGAGGAAGAUAUGAGGGAGAACUGGAGCAAUUGUGGGCCCAACUGCUGCCUCACACCAAGGAUGACAAAACAUCCAAGUUAUUAAAGAUUGUAAGUUUCUGACUAUCCAUUUACAAGACAGUCAUGUUUAUUGCUCCUAAACAACAAAGUACUCAGCACAGGAUAGCAGAGAACCCUGAAGGAAGAGGUGCCAGGAGAGAUGAAAGGAAAUAUCAUGGGAAUGGAGUGCUGUUCAGCCUGCGGAAUGUCUGGAAUAUCUGAGAAGCAGCAGGACAACAGUCGAUGCCUCUAGGUAGAUGUGCCUUCUGACAAAGCGAAGAUGGUGGGAAUAAAAGUCAAUUGAAUAUCUACCAGACAAGAUAGAAUUUGCAUAUCCAUCAGUUACAAAGAGGGAAGAAGUAGCUCAAAGACAAUGAAAAGGACCAAAAUCUGAUAAUCCAUAAAGAUCUAUAGUGAGAAGCUGAACCAUAACUGAAACACUGCUAAGGAAGCAUGGGAUGAUGAGAGAAGACACAUUCAUCUUAGGAUGUAUUCGUUAACCAUAAGAUUUGGAACAUUACCACUACCCA